AUACGUAGGGCGCAAGCGUUGUCCGGAAUUAUUGGGCGUAAAGAGCUCGUAGGCGGUUUGUCACGCCUGCUGUGAAAACCCGAGGCUCAACCUCGGGCCUGCAGUGGGUACGGGCAGACUAGAGUGCGGUAGGGGAGACUGGAACUCCUGGUGUAGCGGUGGAAUGCGCAGAUAUCAGGAAGAACACCAAUGGCGAAGGCAGGUCUCUGGGCCGUAACUGACGCUGAGGAGCGAAAGCAUGGGGAGCGAACAGGAUUAGAUACCCUGGUAGUCCAUGCCGUAAACGUUGGACGCUAGAUGUGGGGGCCUUUCCACGGCUUCCGCGUCGUAGCUAACGCAUUAAGCGUCCCGCCUGGGGAGUACGGCCGCAAGGCUAAA
RNAcentral lists this ribosomal RNA (378 nucleotides) under uncultured bacterium. RNAcentral's name for it is "bacterial SSU rRNA". It matches the Rfam family "Bacterial small subunit ribosomal RNA", at positions 523 to 898 of the family's 1533-position model. The record is from RNAcentral.